UACGAAGGGGCUAGCGUUGUUCGGAUUUACUGGGCGUAAAGCGCACGUAGGCGGAUGUGUCAGUCAGGGGUGAAAUCCCGGGGCUCAACCUCGGAACUGCCUUUGAUACAGCCACGUCUCGAGUCCGGAAGAGGUGGGUGGAAUUCCUAGUGUAGAGGUGAAAUUCGUAGAUAUUAGGAAGAACACCGAUGGCGAAGGCAGGUCUCUGGGCCACUACUGACGCUGAGAAGCGAAAGCAUGGGGAGCGAACAGG
This 253-nucleotide ribosomal RNA is filed under the name uncultured bacterium. RNAcentral describes it as "partial 16S ribosomal RNA". It matches the Rfam family "Bacterial small subunit ribosomal RNA", at positions 524 to 776 of the family's 1533-position model. The record is from RNAcentral.